Molecule: long non-coding RNA, 207 nt
Filed under: Trifolium pratense (red clover)
Lineage: Eukaryota; Viridiplantae; Streptophyta; Magnoliopsida; Fabales; Fabaceae
Description: long non-coding RNA (TPRA_LNC005512)
Source: RNAcentral
CAUCCAGAACCUAUUUUGCUCAAUUUUUCGUGUGAAAUCCGAUUCCGGAGUUAGUUUUCUGAGAUAAUGCAUGCUUAAUAUAAUUUGCUUAUAUUAUUAGCAUUGUGUUGAAAAGGCAAUAAUGGGUCUGGGCGUUACAGGUAGCGGAUGAGUAAAAAUGGGGCGCACGAGAUUUUUUUAUCCUAUAUAGUAUAUGUAUAAUAAAAG